AUACGGAGGGUGCAAGCGUUGUUCGGAAUCACUGGGCGUAAAGGGCGCGCAGGCGGUUUGGUAAGUCAGAUGUGAAAGCCCACGGCUCAACCGUGGAAGUGCAUUUGAAACUGUCAGACUUGAGUACUAGAGGGGAAAGUGGAAUUCCCGGUGUAGAGGUGAAAUUCGUAGAUAUCGGGAGGAAUACCGGUGGCGAAGGCGACUUUCUGGCUAGAUACUGACGCUGAGGCGCGAAAGCGUGGGGAGCAAACAGGAUUAGAUACCCCUGUAGUCC
RNAcentral lists this ribosomal RNA (274 nucleotides) under uncultured bacterium. RNAcentral's name for it is "partial 16S ribosomal RNA". It matches the Rfam family "Bacterial small subunit ribosomal RNA", at positions 523 to 796 of the family's 1533-position model. The record is from RNAcentral.